Molecule: unclassified non-coding RNA, 300 nt
Filed under: Hevea brasiliensis (rubber tree)
Lineage: Eukaryota; Viridiplantae; Streptophyta; Magnoliopsida; Malpighiales; Euphorbiaceae
Source: RNAcentral
GCAAACUCUUUCUUUUUGUCCCUGCAGAAAAUACAAUAUGUGAAUGAUACAACAUAAACAAAAGUAGAGGGCAGUUGCAUUGGCAGAAAGCAUGGUUACACAAACUUAGGAUAACCAUAACGUCCACAAAACACAUCUUUAACUAUGGGGCAUAUGGAUUUUCCCUUUCUUUUCUACUUUUUCUAAAUGAAGGAUUUCAUCUUAGCCAUUUUUUUAAGACUAGAUUGUCACACUCAUAAAAUAAGUGCUUACCUGUUUGUUUUGUGUAUCUGUAAGUAUAUUACCUGAAAUAGCCCCCGA